GACGUAGGAUGCAAGCGUUGUCCGGAUUUAUUGGGCGUAAAGAGUUCGUAGGUGGUUUGUUAAGUCUGAUGUUAAAGACUGGGGCUCAACCUCGGAAAUGCAUUGGAUACUGGCAGACUUGAGUGUGGUAGAGGCAAUCGGAAUUCCAGGUGUAGCGGUGAAAUGCGUAGAUAUCUGGAAGAACACCGGUGGCGCAAGCGGAUUGCUGGGCCAUAACUGACACUGAGGAACGAAAGCUAGGGGAGCAAACAGG
RNAcentral lists this ribosomal RNA (253 nucleotides) under uncultured bacterium. RNAcentral's name for it is "partial 16S ribosomal RNA". It matches the Rfam family "Bacterial small subunit ribosomal RNA", at positions 524 to 776 of the family's 1533-position model. The record is from RNAcentral.